This 1936-nucleotide long non-coding RNA is filed under the name Serinus canaria (Common canary). RNAcentral's name for it is "lncRNA (ENSSCAG00000011867.1)". The record is from RNAcentral. Lineage: Eukaryota; Metazoa; Chordata; Aves; Passeriformes; Fringillidae.
UUUACUUCAUGGCAUUAACAAAGCUCAAGAACUGAUUGGGACUGCUCUGUGAAGGGUUUAAUGAGCUGUGUGUCAGAUCCUUGGAGCUGGCUGAUCUCCUCUGGCUGCAAGUCAGUGUCUGAUGCUUUCAUUUCCCUGUCCUGUGCCUGGCACUAGCCUUAAAGCUUUGCUCCUUCCAGGCAUGAGAGUUCUUCUCAUUUACACUGGCCUCCAGGGAUCAUAAGGAGUUGAAAAGUGCUGUAGGGUCUGUUUGGAUCCCCUCCCUCCAUGGAGCUGCAGCAGGGAUGGCGUGGCACGCUGCUGACAGCCACUGUGUUCCAGGUGCAGGGGAAGCCACAGCCAAAGCACACACAUCUGCCACCCCAGGGCAGAAGCUAAUUCCAGUUUUGGACCAGUUUGCAGCUGGUCAUCUGCUCAGAUGGAUUGAGAUGUCAUGGUGUGCUGCAGGGUUAAAAUAUGUACAGAUUCUCCCAGUGCCAUUUGCAGAGGUGAACCACAGCUGGCUUGGCAGAGGUUUGACACUGCACAAGUCCUGCAAUGGCUCCUGUGCCAAGUCUGGGCAAUGAGCAUCCAAGAGCUAAGCUUCACAUUUUGAUACAUCCUCUCCAUUCUUUGUGUGUGCUGCAAGAUGGAGCUGGCCUCACUACUUGCUUUUCUAAAUUAAGGUAUCUCCUGGCAGGGCACCACUCAGGAGCUCAGGAGAGCACUGCUUGAAGUGAAGCACACCUACUGGGAGGAGCCCAAGGCUGCUGGACAUCCAAACACUCUCCCUGCAGAUUUGCAGAUGUGGUCUGCACAUUGAUGUCAGCACAGGGAAAUGUGGAGACCUCUGCCCAGUGUGUACCAUUUCUAUAAGCCAUGGAAUUCAGCCUUCAAAACUAGAGGCCAUGUAGAAUUAAUUAUGUAGAAUUAACUCUACAUAAUGAAUAUCUGUGAAGCAUGUGGAUAGGGAAAAAUUGCCCAGGGCCCAUGAGCUUCAAUCCUUCACUCUGGUUGCUGAUGAGGAAAGAGUAAGAAAAAUCAUAUGUCUUUCUGGGACCUACUUCCCUUCCACAAGAAAGGAGAGGUGAGAAGAAAACCAGCCUUUCUUUGAUUCACCAUAUUAGUUCAUCUUCCAAGGAAGAAGAAAAAGAAAAAAAGAAGAAAGAAAGAGAAGAAAGAGAAGAAAGAAAGAAAGAAAGAAAGAAAGAAAGAAAGAAAGAAAGAAAGAAAGAAAGAAAGAAAGAAAGAAAGAAAGAAAGAAAGAAAGAGAGAGAAAGAAAUUUCAAAUCUUGUAGCCCUGCUGAGGAAACUCCUGGGUUUUUUACCCCACAUAGAGGAACAGUGGGCUCUGCACGUCAACAUUGAUGACAAUCCAACAGAGAGCAGAGAGCAGAGGUUGACUCACCACCAUGGGUACAAGAGCAGUUCUUUGAAGCCACUGCACUCAUCUUUCUUGGAGAGGUGAUUCAUCACUGAGGAAGUCCAGGAUGAAGUAUGGACACCACCUUCCCAAAAGGGACAGCUGUGAUCUCACACAAACUCCUCCCCUGGCUGCACUAGCACUGGAAAUGAUUUGCUGCUUCUGGGAAUGAGCUGCCUGGUGCAGAUCUGAGGGACUCGUGUCCUCUCUGUCAGGUCUGAAUUACUAAAGCUGAGCCACUUCAUGUCAUGUCCCCUCGUAACAGGGUUUUUGUCAAAAGGGCUUGCAGACAGUUUAAUGGGUCUUUCUCAGGAGCCAUAAAGAUUGCAUGGAGAUUUCUGGAAGGACUUAAGGCUUUUGUCUUUUUCACACUGCAGAAAUCUGAUGGAUGUUCCAUCCACCUAGUCCGAGACUGUCACACACUCUGUGGUCCAGCCUUGAUUACACAAGGUGACAGCACCAAAAAAUUGUCCACUUCUAAUCAGCAGCUCUGCUACAAAUAAACCAAACAUUUCAGGGGAGAUUCUGAUAAUC